UACAGAGGGUGCAAGCGUUAAUCGGAAUUACUGGGCGUAAAGCGCACGUAGGCGGUUCGUUAAGUCGGAUGUGAAAUCCCUGGGCUCAACCUGGGAGCUGCAUUCGAUACUGGCGAACUUGAGUAUGAUAGAGGGGGGUGGAAUUCCAGGUGUAGCGGUGAAAUGCGUAGAGAUGCGGAGGAACACCGAUGGCGAAGGCAGCCCCUGGGAUAACACUGACGCUCAUGCACGAAAGCGUGGGGAGCAAACAGGAUUAGAAACCCCGGUAGU
Molecule: ribosomal RNA, 270 nt
Filed under: uncultured archaeon
Lineage: Archaea
Description: partial 16S ribosomal RNA
Rfam family: Bacterial small subunit ribosomal RNA
Source: RNAcentral